UUGUAAACCGCUUUCAGCAGGGAAGAAGCGAAAGUGACGGUACCUGCAAAAGAAGCACCGGCUAACUAUGUGCCAGCAGCCGCGGUAAUACAUAGGGUGCAAGCGUUGUCCGGAAUUAUUGGGCGUAAAGAGCUCGUAGGUGGUUAGUUACGUCGGGUGUGAAACUCUGGGGCUCAACCCCAGACCUGCACUCGAUACGGGCUAGCUAGAGUUUGGUAGGGGAGACUGGAAUUCCUGGUGUAGCGGUGGAAUGCGCAGAUAUCAGGAGGAACACCAAUGGCGAAGGCAGGUCUCUGGGCCAAUACUGACACUGAGGAGCGAAAGCGCGGGGAGCGAACAGGAUUAGAUACCCUGGUAGUCCGCGCCGUAAACGGUGGGCGCUAGUUGUGGGAACCUUCCACGGUUUCUGCGACGCAGCUAACGCAUUAAGCG
Molecule: ribosomal RNA, 432 nt
Filed under: uncultured Actinomycetes bacterium
Lineage: Bacteria; Bacillati; Actinomycetota; Actinomycetes
Description: bacterial SSU rRNA
Rfam family: Bacterial small subunit ribosomal RNA
Source: RNAcentral